RNAcentral lists this ribosomal RNA (490 nucleotides) under uncultured bacterium. RNAcentral's name for it is "partial 16S ribosomal RNA". It matches the Rfam family "Bacterial small subunit ribosomal RNA", at positions 30 to 507 of the family's 1533-position model. The record is from RNAcentral.
AUUGAACGCUGGCGGCAGGCUUAACACAUGCAAGUCGAGCGGUAGCACAGGGGAGCUUGCUCCCUGGGUGACGCGCGGCGGACGGGUGAGUAAUGUCUGUGAAACUGCCUGAUGGAGGGGGAUAACUACUGGAAACGGUAGCUAAUACCGCAUAACGUCGCAAGACCAAAGAGGGGGACCUUCGGGCCUCUUGCCCUCAGAUGUGCCCAGAUGGGAUUAGCUAGUAGGUGGGGUAAUGGCUCACCUAGGCGACGAUCCCUAGCUGGUCUGAGAGGAUGACCAGCCACACUGGAACUGAGACACGGUCCAGACUCCUACGGGAGGCAGCAGUGGGGAAUAUUGCACAAUGGGCGCAAGCCUGAUGCAGCCAUGCCGCGUGUGUGAAGAAGGCCUUCGGGUUGUAAAGCACUUUCAGCGAGGAGGAAGGUGGUGAGCUUAAUACGUUCAUCAAUUGACGUUACUCGCAGAAGAAGCACCGGCUAACUCCGUG